GGCCUAGUGGCUCAGCUGGUUAGAGCGCCGCCCUGUCACGGCGGAGGUCGCGGGUUCGAGUCCCGCCUAGGUCG
Molecule: transfer RNA, 74 nt
Filed under: Lachnospiraceae bacterium
Lineage: Bacteria; Bacillati; Bacillota; Clostridia; Lachnospirales; Lachnospiraceae
Also listed under: 1 other name
Description: tRNA-Asp
Rfam family: tRNA
About the family: Transfer RNA (tRNA) molecules are approximately 80 nucleotides in length. Their secondary structure includes four short double-helical elements and three loops (D, anti-codon, and T loops).
Source: RNAcentral